UGAGUCAUUAAAUAACAUCAUCCGAUCCCUAGUCGGCAUAGUUUAUGGUUAAGACUACGACGGUAUCUGAUCGUCUUCGAUCCCCUAACUUUCGUUCUUGAUUAAUGAAAACAUCCUUGGCAAAUGCUUUCGCAGUAGUUAGUCUUCAAUAAAUCCAAGAAUUUCACCUCUGACAAUUGAAUACUA
Molecule: ribosomal RNA, 186 nt
Filed under: uncultured Glomeromycotina
Lineage: Eukaryota; Fungi; Glomeromycota
Description: partial 18S ribosomal RNA
Source: RNAcentral